UAUGCUUUAGUAUAUGAUGUAUUAGAGUUUUUGAUACUCUAGGGGGUAGUUUAAUUCUAUCAAGUAUAA
RNAcentral lists this transfer RNA (69 nucleotides) under Tribolium castaneum (red flour beetle). RNAcentral describes it as "tRNA-Gln". The record is from RNAcentral. Lineage: Eukaryota; Metazoa; Arthropoda; Insecta; Coleoptera; Tenebrionidae.